GGGAUAGGCUCGGAGCGCAGCUGGCCGCGAGCCAGCCCGGCCGUCCCGCUCGCCCUGCGGCACGCUUUGCGCUGAGGGCGAUAGAGUGCGAGGAGGUAAAGAUCAAAGCUUUCCCAACAGAGUCGCAAGUUGAAAAUGGACUAAAAAUGGCGACGAGAAAUUUGCUGUAAAGAAUCAGCUGUAAAGUGAGUUUUCCCACUCGGCAGUUCCAGCUCCGAUGUCAGUCGAUGCUUUCUAAUACAGCACCCAUUUUAUGUAAAACUCUGCUUUUUCUGUUAUUCGUGGAGGACUCCUGUGAUGCUUCCAUCCACCCAAUAACGUGCCUCUGUAAAGGAAAGACUUCUGCUUGUUCAAUGCUUUGUUUUAUUCACCGAAGUUACAAUGAUUGUAUACUUUGUAGAGAAAAAGCAGUGAAAUUUAAAGCGAGUAUGCAGAUCCCAGCAUUGUUGUUGGAAGUGAUUAAUGGCUAGUAAAAAUUUAAGGUGAAUACCUCUUUAUUUUUGCUAAUGAAGCUGACGUGCCACGCAGUGCUGCAUGGUAACAUUUCCGUGAGGGAUCCCUUAAACUUUUGAAACGCUUCACACGUGGGAAGGGUAAUUUUCAUUCACUCGUGCAUUCAUUCUACUCAAAAAACAGCUAAAAAAAUGUGGGUACGUAUCACCCUGUUGUAUGUUUGUCAUACCCAAACUCGCCUAGCUGUUAGACCCUGUAGGUUUCUUUUAAGAGAAUUGGCUUUUCUCCUCGUGUUGAGAUUAACAAUGAAAUUAUUCAGUCUUACCCCCUGAAUUAUAUUCCUCUCUAAUUAUUUUAAUCUCUUAUAUAUCACUAUAAGAAGGACAGGCUUCUUUUUUCAAACAGAAAAUUGGCCUUCUGUGUCGUGUCAGCGCUUAUUAAAUACUACAAUCAUAAGAACACAUAUGCUACAAGAUUUUACGUUCUGAUUCCGUAGCUGUUACGGGCUUAGCGGCUGCAGUAUUUAUUUAGUGGUAAUGCAUUGCUUUUUCCUAUUUUGCAUUUCAAAGCUCUCCCUUAAACGACUGUUUUACAGAACUAUCCAGAGGUUAUCUAAAUUUCCCCAUCAAAUAUUACGCAGCACCAUAAGCUGGGAGUCGUGGAGUUUCUUUCCUUUCAUUUACACUCUCUUUAUAGAAAGAACUGAUCAGAAAAGCCACAAAAAAUACAACAAAUCCUUUAGGAAACGGUUCGGUGUAUUUGGUUUGACUGAAUUUGGACCAUAGCAAAGUUUCAAGCUGGUGUUAAACGCUCUCAGAGUACAACGUUUUUAUUUGAACGCUAUGCAGUGUGCUUCUCAUGGAUAUAUUCUCGGUUCCUCGGCGCGGCUUUAAUCACGUUGUUGCAAAGCAAUUAAUUUUUUGGUUGCUGUAGUGAUGCAUUUUUAUAAAGCCAGAAAUUGGGUUUCAGAAUCACCAACGUCAAAAAAGCCAAAGCCCCAAACCCGGCGCUGCCGGGAGCCGCACGCGUUGCUGUUCAAAGAGGAAGCUGCAGGAAAACCGUCUCAAUUAAUUAAUAAAGAAAUAGGAAAGCAAAAGCAAUGAUAAAAAUGUACGACUGUUUGUUGCAAUACAAGCGUUACUGUACGCGUACAUUCGUCCAGCAAAUUAAAAUACACUUAAUAUGUUUUCCUUUCAAAAGGAUAUUUGUUUUAAUUUACCUGUCAGGGAAAUAAAGGACAGAUUUGCCGCUGUACCGUGAUUUUUUUCUCCUUGUCAGGGUUAACAGAAUCAUUGGGAAUGCUUUUUAAAUUAGAUGUCAUUUUCUUGACACGAACGAGGAAGGGCCAGGAGGGUGUAUCUACCUUCAGAUCAUUUGCCUUUUUUAGCAGUGGGGUCUGUUGGGUGCUUUAUUUCCUCACGCAGUAAUUGCUCACACCUGCAAUUUUCAGCGUACUUUUUUACAAGCCUUAAAAGUAAUAAAAAUAGCGUUGUGUGUUUUCUCCUACAAAUAGUUCCGAGUUCAGACGUGUGUUCUUCCCCGCUAAGAUGGGGCGGUUUUGUGCGGGGCGGCUUUUUUUUGGGAGCACUGCCUGCAUUAUUUUACGCAAACUGAAACAUUCCACAUCCUGACACCCUCCCCCCGUUUGUUUUUUUGUUCCGUGUGUGCAAAACGUCUAACCUCGGGGAUACGGCAGCGUGCAUUUACAGAGAAACGUUACAGCGGGUCCCAAAUGGCUGUGCUAAUUGCACUGGGCUGGGCCUUCACGGAGGAAG
Long non-coding RNA from Gallus gallus (chicken), 2228 nucleotides. The record is from Ensembl. Lineage: Eukaryota; Metazoa; Chordata; Aves; Galliformes; Phasianidae.